ACAAGCGGUGGAGCAUGUGGUUUAAUUCGAAGCAACGCGAAGAACCUUACCAAAUCUUGACAUCCUUUGACAACUCUAGAGAUAGAGCUUUCCCCUUCGGGGGACAAAGUGACAGGUGGUGCAUGGUUGUCGUCAGCUCGUGUCGUGAGAUGUUGGGUUAAGUCCCGCAACGAGCGCAACCCUUAAGCUUAGUUGCCAUCAUUAAGUUGGGCACUC
RNAcentral lists this ribosomal RNA (216 nucleotides) under Staphylococcus haemolyticus. Its description in RNAcentral is "partial 16S ribosomal RNA". It matches the Rfam family "Bacterial small subunit ribosomal RNA", at positions 925 to 1140 of the family's 1533-position model. The record is from RNAcentral. Lineage: Bacteria; Bacillati; Bacillota; Bacilli; Caryophanales; Staphylococcaceae.